UACCAUUCGACUGUGGGUAAUGAGGC
RNAcentral lists this non-coding RNA (26 nucleotides) under Bombyx mori (domestic silkworm). The record is from RNAcentral. Lineage: Eukaryota; Metazoa; Arthropoda; Insecta; Lepidoptera; Bombycidae.